Pelobates cultripes (western spadefoot toad) is the source of this 106-nucleotide non-coding RNA. The record is from the annotation of a GenBank genome assembly. Lineage: Eukaryota; Metazoa; Chordata; Amphibia; Anura; Pelobatidae.
AAUGGAGCACUCCUUAGGGAUUUUUUUAAGGUAUAUUGAAAUAAACAAUCAACGUUUCGACCCUUAAAAAAAUACACCUUAAAAAAAUCCCUGAGGAGUGCUCCAU